Molecule: ribosomal RNA, 253 nt
Filed under: uncultured bacterium
Lineage: Bacteria
Description: partial 16S ribosomal RNA
Rfam family: Bacterial small subunit ribosomal RNA
Source: RNAcentral
GACGGAGGGGGCUCGCGUUAUUCGGAAUUACUGGGCGCAAAGGGCGCGUAGGCGGAUUAGUCAGUUGGGAGUGAAAGCCCGGGGCUUAACCUCGGAACUGCUUUCAAAACUGCUAGUCUUGAGUGAAGUAGGGGGUGAUGGAAUUCCUAGUGUAGAGGUGGAAUUCUUAGAUAUUAGGAGGAACACCGGUGGCGAAGGCGGUCACCUGGACUUCAACUGACGCUGAGGCGCGAAAGCGUGGGGAGCACACCGG